RNAcentral lists this ribosomal RNA (549 nucleotides) under uncultured bacterium. Its description in RNAcentral is "bacterial SSU rRNA". It matches the Rfam family "Bacterial small subunit ribosomal RNA", at positions 355 to 896 of the family's 1533-position model. The record is from RNAcentral.
UGGGGAAUAUUGGACAAUGGGCGAAAGCCUGAUCCAGCCAUGCCGCGUGUGUGAAGAAGGCCUUUUGGUUGUAAAGCACUUUAAGUGGGGAGGAAAAGCUUAUGGUUAAUACCCAUAAGCCCUGACGUUACCCACAGAAUAAGCACCGGCUAACUCUGUGCCAGCAGCCGCGGUAAUACAGAGGGUGCAAGCGUUAAUCGGAAUUACUGGGCGUAAAGCGCGCGUAGGUGGUUAUUUAAGUCAGAUGUGAAAGCCCUGGGCUUAACCUGGGAACUGCAUCUGAUACUGGAUAACUAGAGUAGGUGAGAGGGGAGUAGAAUUCCAGGUGUAGCGGUGAAAUGCGUAGAGAUCUGGAGGAAUACCGAUGGCGAAGGCAGCUCCCUGGCAUCAUACUGACACUGAGGUGCGAAAGCGUGGGUAGCAAACAGGAUUAGAUACCCUGGUAGUCCACGCCGUAAACGAUGUCUACCAGUCGUUGGGUCUUUUAAAGACUUAGUGACGCAGUUAACGCAAUAAGUAGACCGCCUGGGGAGUACGGCCGCAAGGUUA